CAGUCGCCGCGGUAAUACGUAGGUCCCGAGCGUUGUCCGGAUUUAUUGGGCGUAAAGCGAGCGCAGGCGGUUAGAUAAGUCUGAAGUUAAAGGCUGUGGCUUAACCAUAGUACGCUUUGGAAACUGUUUAACUUGAGUGCAAGAGGGGAGAGUGGAAUUCCAUGUGUAGCGGUGAAAUGCGUAGAUAUAUGGAGGAACACCGGUGGCGAAAGCGGCUCUCUGGCCUGUAACUGACACUGAGGCGCGAAAGCGUGGGGAGCAAACAGGAUUAGAUACCCCGGUAGUCCCUGUCUCUUAUACA
Molecule: ribosomal RNA, 301 nt
Filed under: uncultured bacterium
Lineage: Bacteria
Description: partial 16S ribosomal RNA
Rfam family: Bacterial small subunit ribosomal RNA
Source: RNAcentral